Molecule: ribosomal RNA, 440 nt
Filed under: uncultured Methylomonas sp.
Lineage: Bacteria; Pseudomonadati; Pseudomonadota; Gammaproteobacteria; Methylococcales; Methylococcaceae
Description: bacterial SSU rRNA
Rfam family: Bacterial small subunit ribosomal RNA
Source: RNAcentral
CGUGCCAGCAGCCGCGGUAAUACGGAGGGUGCAAGCGUUAAUCGGAAUUACUGGGCGUAAAGCGUGCGUAGGCGGUUAUUUAAGUCAGAUGUGAAAGCCCCGGGCUUAACCUGGGAACUGCAUUUGAUACUGGAUGACUAGAGUUGAGUAAAGGAGAGUGGAAUUUCAGGUGUAGCGGUGAAAUGCGUAAAGAUCUGAAGGAACACCAGUGGCGAAGGCGGCUCUCUGGACUCAAACUGACGCUGAGGUACGAAAGCGUGGGUAGCAAACAGGAUUAGAUACCCUGGUAGUCCACGCCGUAAACGAUGUCAACUAACCGUUGGGCGCUUUAAGUGCUUAGUGGGUGGAGCUAACGUAUUAAGUUGACCGCCUGGGGAGUACGGCCGCCAGGCUAAAACUCAAAUGAAAUUGACGGGGGCCCGCACAAGCGGUGGAGCAUG